AUCAGUCAAAAAGUUUCUCAAUACGAGGUAUGCCACAACUAGGCAAUGCAACACGAGUAGUUUAGAGGUUACCUCACGAUGGAGGACUCUCUUAGUAUGCUUGAAAUGUGAAAUUUGGUCAUUACACACCAAAUAAAAGCAAACUUAGAAAGUAAACGCAAUUUAAACUGCCUCAAGCAAAUUUUUGAAAAGCAGAUGAUUAGGGCCAGAAAGACCACCUACUGCCAGGUUAAACACAAACUCAAACCACUGGACAGAUCCUUUUAAAGCAACAUAAGGCAGAACUUUCAAGAUUUAAAAGAAAUGCAACACCACGGGACAGUGGUCCAUACAUUGAGAGGAAGCCUAAACAAUUGAGUAACUCAAUGCCAAAAGCUGGAAGUCCAAUAGUAGAAUGGGAAUAUGAAAACAAUAUAGUUAAGAUUCUUAAAUGAGUUUAGGACUUACCCAUAACAUGAACUGAUAAUCCACUGUCCGCCAUGGUUUCCUUAAUUUAUUUUGAAUGACCUUCAAACUGAUCCCUCAGCAACUCGUACUUCUUGAGCUCAGCCAUGGAGAGGGAAGGGGAGAGUUCUCCCAAG
This 581-nucleotide long non-coding RNA is filed under the name Eucalyptus grandis. RNAcentral's name for it is "long non-coding RNA (EGRA_LNC004649)". Lineage: Eukaryota; Viridiplantae; Streptophyta; Magnoliopsida; Myrtales; Myrtaceae. The record is from RNAcentral.